UUCAGCAGCCUUUGGGACUGUCCAUGUUAUCCUGCAGAAUUACCAUAAGAUUGUUUAAUCUUUGCAGAGACCACAGGCAGGUGACCCUGGAGAAGGUGCUGGUGUUCUCUUAUUCUCGGUUUCGCAGUCUGAAAUACUGAAUACUUCAGUCCCUGCUGCUGCCUUCCUCUGCAAGGUCAAGUGGGAGCUGAGGUCCCAUGAAAAGUGGUACAGGAAUUGCCGGGAGUCUAAUUCCCCUUUUUUGGAGGAGAUCAGUCCAUGUGCUCCCAACAGUCCUCUGGAGCUCCCUUCCCUCCUGGCUGAGAGUGACCCAGAGCUGGGUGAAGCCACCUCAGGGCUGGGGGAUUCACAAGGGCUGCAGAUGUCCUGGCUGCUGAGCAGCUGGGGGAGAAGGAAGUUCUUCCUUCUGAAAUCCCAAUGGAUACAGUACCCAGGGCACUGUGAGAAAAUCCUGGAUUUAUGGAUGGAGCAGUUUCCCCACCACAUGAACCCCAGAGCUGACACAUGUAGAAAAAGGCUUUCAGCGCUGGGUACAAGCUAGAAAUAAUGGGAGGUGAAGCUUGUCCCUGAGAAAAGAGCCUUAAAAUAAUAAAGUGUACACUGGAAAGGGGG
RNAcentral lists this long non-coding RNA (612 nucleotides) under Manacus vitellinus (golden-collared manakin). RNAcentral describes it as "lncRNA (ENSMVIG00005001662.1)". The record is from RNAcentral. Lineage: Eukaryota; Metazoa; Chordata; Aves; Passeriformes; Pipridae.